GUCUGCAAGCCAUCCUGAACAAGCCCGAUCCCAUCUGAUCUCAGAAGCUAAGUAGGAUUGGGCCUAGUUAGUACUUGGAUGGGAGACCACCUAGGAAGACCAGGUGCUGUAGGCG
Molecule: ribosomal RNA, 115 nt
Filed under: Pteropus alecto (black flying fox)
Lineage: Eukaryota; Metazoa; Chordata; Mammalia; Chiroptera; Pteropodidae
Source: RNAcentral